AGUGAACGCUGGCGGUAGGCCUAACACAUGCAAGUCGAACGGCAGCACAGUAAGAGCUUGCUCUUACGGGUGGCGAGUGGCGGACGGGUGAGGAAUACAUCGGAAUCUACUUUUUCGUGGGGGAUAACGUAGGGAAACUUACGCUAAUACCGCAUACGACCUACGGGUGAAAGCAGGGGAUCUUCGGACCUUGCGCGAUUGAAUGAGCCGAUGUCGGAUUAGCUAGUUGGCGGGGUAAAGGCCCACCAAGGCGACGCUCCGUAGCUGGUCUGGGAGGAUGAUCAGCCACACUGGAACGGAGACACGGUCCAGACUCCGACGGGAGGCAGCAGUGGGGAAUAUGGGACAAUGGGCGCAAGCCUGAUCCAGGCAUACCGCGUGGGUGAAGAAGGCCGGCGGGUUGUAAAGCCCUUUUGUUGGGAAAGAAAAGCAGCAGGUUAAUACCCCGCUGUUCUGACGGUACCCAAAGAAUAAGCACCGGCUAACUUCG
RNAcentral lists this ribosomal RNA (490 nucleotides) under uncultured bacterium. Its description in RNAcentral is "partial 16S ribosomal RNA". It matches the Rfam family "Bacterial small subunit ribosomal RNA", at positions 29 to 505 of the family's 1533-position model. The record is from RNAcentral.